This 70-nucleotide transfer RNA is filed under the name Gormaniella terricola. Its description in RNAcentral is "tRNA-Lys". It matches the Rfam family "tRNA". From Rfam's summary of the family: Transfer RNA (tRNA) molecules are approximately 80 nucleotides in length. Their secondary structure includes four short double-helical elements and three loops (D, anti-codon, and T loops). Further hydrogen bonds mediate the characteristic L-shaped molecular structure. tRNAs have two regions of fundamental functional importance: the anti-codon, which is responsible for specific mRNA codon recognition, and the 3' end, to which the tRNAs corresponding amino acid is attached (by aminoacyl-tRNA synthetases). tRNAs cope with the degeneracy of the genetic code in two manners: having more than one tRNA (with a specific anti-codon) for a particular amino acid; and 'wobble' base-pairing, i.e. permitting non-standard base-pairing at the 3rd anti-codon position. The record is from RNAcentral. Lineage: Eukaryota; Viridiplantae; Chlorophyta; Chlorophyceae; Chaetopeltidales; Chaetopeltidaceae.
UGGGGUAUAGCCAAGUUGGUAAGGCAGUGGUUUUUGGAUCCACCAUUCGUAGGUUCGAGUCCUGCUACCC